This 412-nucleotide ribosomal RNA is filed under the name uncultured bacterium. Its description in RNAcentral is "bacterial SSU rRNA". It matches the Rfam family "Bacterial small subunit ribosomal RNA", at positions 355 to 776 of the family's 1533-position model. The record is from RNAcentral.
UGGGGAAUCUUGCGCAAUGGGGGAAACCCUGACGCAGCGACGCCGCGUGCGGGAUGAAGGCCUUCGGGUUGUAAACCGCUUUCAGCAGGGACGAGGCCUACAAGGUGACGGUACCUGCAGAAGAAGCUCCGGCUAAAUACGUGCCAGCAGCCGCGGUAAUACGUAUGGAGCAAGCGUUAUCCGGAUUCAUUGGGCGUAAAGCGCUCGUAGGCGGUCUGUUAGGUCGGUAAGUUAAAUCCGGGGGCUCAACCCCCGUCCGCUUCCGAUACCGGCAGACUUGAGUUUGGUAGGGGAAGGUGGAAUUCCUAGUGUAGCGGUGGAAUGCGCAGAUAUUAGGAAGAACACCGGUGGCGAAGGCGGCCUUCUGGGCCAUAACUGACGCUGAGGAGCGAAAGCUAGGGGAGCGAACAGG